AUUGAACGCUGGCGGCAUGCUUUACACAUGCCAGUCGAACGGCAGCGCGGGCUUCGGCCUGGCGGCGAGUGGCGAACGGGUGAGUAAUGCAUCGGAACGUGCCCAGUAGUGGGGGAUAGCCCGGCGAAAGCCGGAUUAAUACCGCAUACGACCUGAGGGUGAAAGCGGGGGACCGAAAGGCCUCGCGCUAUUGGAGCGGCCGAUGUCGGAUUAGCUAGUUGGUGGGGUAAAGGCUUACCAAGGCGACGAUCCGUAGCUGGUCUGAGAGGACGACCAGCCACACUGGGACUGAGACAUGGCCCAGACUCCUACGGGAGGCAGCAGUGGGGAAUUUUGGACAAUGGGGGCAACCCUGAUCCAGCCAUGCCGCGUGCGGGAAGAAGGCCUUCGGGUUGUAAACCGCUUUUGUUCGGGAAGAAAUCCUCUGGGCUAAUACCCCGGGGGGAUGACGGUACCGGAAGAAUAAGCACCGGCUAACUACGUG
RNAcentral lists this ribosomal RNA (484 nucleotides) under uncultured bacterium. Its description in RNAcentral is "partial 16S ribosomal RNA". It matches the Rfam family "Bacterial small subunit ribosomal RNA", at positions 28 to 507 of the family's 1533-position model. The record is from RNAcentral.